AGACCUCUCCCCCACCCCCCCCACCCCCGCCCCCGGAGGCUCAGGCUGCUGCAGGCAGGGUUGGCUUUGAAAACCACUGUCUUCUUUCUACUAAGCCUGGAAGGUCCUCAACACAGAGAAGACACUCAAGAAAUGCUACUUUAACCCCCAAGGACCCGAACCUGCUCCGGGAGGAUGUCCAAGUCCUGCCUCUUCCUGUCCUCCCUCUCUCCCCGCUCUCUUCCACCCGCAUGCAGGGAGAAAGGGGAGGAACUCUGAUCUGUGAGAUGCUGGUCACGCAGGACAGCAGAUCUGGGAGGGCUCACCUCCAGUGCCCCCAGGAUGACCAUGCCGAGUGUGAUCAGUGGAGAACAGCAGGUGGCACAAAUCAGAAACUCAGGAAAGCCUUCAUAGAGGUGAUCCCAAGCGCAGGAAAAAUCAGCAGACGGGCUACACAGGAAAUUUGGGCAAACCCCAGAGCUGCAGAACAAGAGGCCUUCGGGAACCAUCAGGACUUUGCUGAGCGCCGGACCUUGGCCCAGGAGAGGAGAGGAGAAGACAGGAGACCGGGCCAGGGCCUCAUCUGGAAGAGGAAACCACUUGCAGGCAGGACAGCCACCGUCAGCCCAUACCUACUUUCAGAAAUUAAGUGUCCAGUGCAAGUUCACGCAGCUAAUAGGUGAUAGUUAUAUGGGCCUCCAACUGAUAACUACUAAUGAGUGGUUCAAACUAGGAACCUGCUGGCUGGUGAUGAGUAUCGAAGCAUCCAGUGAAAAUCAGCUGUGGGUGAUACAGACCUUCCAUAGAUCCCAGCACAAGUCAUCUAAGCAAGCAAUCCCCGUAAGGCGUGAUCCUGGAUGAAGCACAAUUGGAAAAUUCACCCGCCAUCUUGUCACAUCGCUUUAGAUGACAAUGAAGACGCAUUAGGUUAAGUGUGUUAAUCAUACCUGUUGAAGCAAAACAGAGGCAGGUCCUCAGCUGUCCCUUCAGUCCGUGGAUGUGUGUUCAGGGUUCACUGCCAUACAGAGCUGUGACUGCUCUCUUCCCCCGGGGGCCUGAGGUGAAUACAUAGAUGGAGCCAUUCCUUGGUGUUGUGUGACUGUAAGGUGCAUUAGGGACCUACAGAGGCAGAUCCUAGUGUGCUCUGGACAAAAGAGGCCUGUCCUUUCUCAGAUCUUUGGGUCUGCUUUCCAUUGUAACCUAUAACUUGCCACACACUCAGCUUGGUUUCCCAAAGUCUUCUAUUUGCAAGUGCCUAAUAGUUGUUGAGAAUUUCUUAGGAGCCAGGUGCCCCAGUUAAGGCAAUCCCAAUCAUCUGUCAUAUAGUUCUCCCAAGAACUCCAUCGUCUUAUUUUGCACAUGAGAAUCCGAGACUCAGAGAGAGUAAGUUACUUGACCAAGGUUUACACAGCCAACCGGUGACAGAGCUAGGGUGAGGAAGGAGUGACUCUCGCAACCAUGAGACUGGAGGGACAAAGACGGUCUCCUCUGUUUGGCAGCUAGUUGACUUGGAGUAAGUGAUAGGAGAGGACAUGAGGUUUGUUGGGUGGGUCUGCAAGGCUAGGAAAGGCAUUUGAAGCUGCUGACUUCUUAGAGACUCACGGUCCCGAAUUCUAAAUGAAGUGUUAAAGUCUGGGGAUCAUCAACACUUGAUACAAGUCAGUAUGUGGAGGUGGGAAGAAUGGAAGGAUGUAUCCAGAGGUGGGGGCAGUGAGGCUCU
Long non-coding RNA from Vulpes vulpes (red fox), 1699 nucleotides. NCBI's taxonomy places the organism in Eukaryota, Metazoa, Chordata, Mammalia, Carnivora, Canidae. The record is from Ensembl.